UCGCUUUGGAAAGCUCCGCCCCACAGGCGCCUCCUCGCCAGGAACCACCCCGGGCGGCGAGGACUAUUUCGGAACCUUCCACGCCAGGCUGCGCCUAGCGCCCCGCCUUUUCCGGAGCUCUGUGGAAAGCUCCGCGCUGCGGCCUCCCGGGGACCAAGAACCGACACCGCCCUACUGACAAUGUGCUGCUCCCCGGGGGUGCUUCCGCCACCCUACGAAGGGCCACUCGCCGCCCGUGUUGCCUCUGUCUGUUCGGAAACAUUCCCCCGACAAACAACCCCCCGCCCUCAAGGCGCCGCUCGGACCUCGGGCUCCUGCAAGACCAAGGGGAUCACGGUAGAGUCUCCCCGAGCGCAAUAGAACAGCACCCCCGUGUGGCCCUGUCCUCCAGAACCCGCGGAAUGGCCGGAUUCGUGGGCUGCAGCAGAGACCCGCCAGACCUAUGCUAAGAGACACUGAAGACCAGAGCUGCCAUGGAAGAACUUUGACUGCCCUGAGGCCGCCAUGAUUAGAGGAAGCCCAAACCAGCCCACAUGGAGAGACCACGUGGAGAAGCCCUGUGAGUACAAGGAGAGAGAGAGCUGCCCACACACCCCCAGCUGGUACCUCAACUGGGACACCCCACUGUCCCAGCUUCAGCCACCAACUCAUUACGUCCAUAUGGGAUCCCAAGGCAGAACUGCCCAGCUGGACCCUUCCCAGAAAUCUGACCACAGACAUGGUGAGAGAUAAAAGGCUUACUGUUGUUGCUUUAAGCCACCGUGUUUUGGAGAGAUUUGUCAUCUAGCGAUGGAAGAAGGUUACUGCUUUACUACCCAUCAGGAGGAAGGAAAAAUUUCUUCUUGCCCAGCAACGGUCCAGCCACUAAAAGGAGACUGUUACAACUCAGCCAGAGAAAAGCGAUUAAGCUUAAAGCUCCCGGUUUCUUCCACCGGACUCAGUUUAUAACAGACCCUCCCAGCGCUCCCUUCUCCUCUGUAAGAGAAUGUGCCUCUCCUUUGUUCUCCCCACUUGCUUGUGCUUUACCGUAGAGUCCACGUCCCAAAUUGUAAUUCUCUGCUAUUCCCAAAUAAACCCAUUUU
Long non-coding RNA from Aethalodelphis obliquidens (Pacific white-sided dolphin), 1082 nucleotides. RefSeq lists it as uncharacterized. The record is from RefSeq and is a predicted model, not a curated record. Lineage: Eukaryota; Metazoa; Chordata; Mammalia; Artiodactyla; Delphinidae. The transcript has 3 exons.